GACGAACGCUGGCGGCGUGCUUAACACAUGCAAGUCGAACGGAAAGGCCCUGCUUUUGUGGGGUGCUCGAGUGGCGAACGGGUGAGUAACACGCGAGUAACCUGCCCUUGACUUUGGGAUAACUUCAGGAAACUGGGGCUAAUACCGGAUAGGAGCUCCUGCUGCAUGGUGGGGGUUGGAAAGUUUCGGCGGUUGGGGAUGGACUCGCGGCUUAUCAGCUUGUUGGUGGGGUAGUGGCUUACCAAGGCUUUGACGGGUAGCCGGCCUGAGAGGGUGACCGGCAACAUUGGGACUGAGAUACGGUCCAGAGUCGUACGGGAGGCAGCGGUGGGGAAUAUUGCACAAUGGGCGGAAGCCAGAUGCAGCAACGCCGCGUGCGGGAUGACGGCCUUCGGGUUGUAAACCGCUUUCGCCUGUGACGAAGCGUGAGUGACGGUAAUGGGUAAAGAAGCACCGGCUAACUACGUG
This 468-nucleotide ribosomal RNA is filed under the name uncultured bacterium. RNAcentral's name for it is "partial 16S ribosomal RNA". It matches the Rfam family "Bacterial small subunit ribosomal RNA", at positions 28 to 507 of the family's 1533-position model. The record is from RNAcentral.